UUGACCUCGGAUCAGGUAGGGAUACCCGCUGAACUUAAGCAUAUCAAUAAGCGGAGGAAAAGAAACCAACAGGGAUUGCCCCAGUAACGGCGAGUGAAGCGGCAAGAGCUCAAAUUUGAAAGCUGGCCCCCUCGGGGUCCGCAUUGUAAUUUGCAGAGGAUGCUUCGGGAGUGGCCCCCAUCUAAGUGCUCUGGAACGGGCCGUCAUAGAGGGUGAGAAUCCCGUAUGGGAUGGGGUGUCCGCGACCAUGUGAAGCUCCUUCGACGAGUCGAGUUGUUUGGGAAUGCAGCUCUAAAUGGGUGGUAAAUUUCAUCUAAAGCUAAAUAUUGGCCGGAGACCGAUAGCGCACAAGUAGAGUGAUCGAAAGAUGAAAAGCACUUUGAAAAGAGAGUUAAAAAGCACGUGAAAUUGUUGAAAGGGAAGCGCUUGCGACCAGACUCGCCUACGGGGUUCAGCCGGUAUUCGUACCGGUGUACUUCCCCGUGGGCGGGCCAGCGUCGGUUUGGGCGGCCGGUCAAAGGCCCUCGGAAUGUAACGCCUCUCGGGGCGUCUUAUAGCCGAGGGUGCCAUGCGGCCAGCCCAGACCGAGGAACGCGCUUCGGCACGGACGCUGGCAUAAUGGUCGUAAGCGACC
RNAcentral lists this ribosomal RNA (634 nucleotides) under Penicillium citreonigrum. RNAcentral's name for it is "eukaryotic LSU rRNA". It matches the Rfam family "Eukaryotic large subunit ribosomal RNA", at positions 1 to 649 of the family's 3401-position model. The record is from RNAcentral. Lineage: Eukaryota; Fungi; Ascomycota; Eurotiomycetes; Eurotiales; Aspergillaceae.